GAUAGUUGUUGACUGAAUAAACAAAGCCCAGAACGUUGCCCGGAAUCGUGCAGAGAGCAGAGAAGGGGCUUCAGGAGGAAUCUUUAAAAAGCAACUUGAGGAGGAGCAGGAUGAUAGCGAAGGGCCAGAGGUGUUGGAGGUGGACCAGGCAGAGAGGGAGAGAGGUGACUUCCCAGACAAGGGUGAUCACAGGUGCCUAAUGCUGCCAAGAGACCAAAAUAGGAGUUCCCUGGUGGCUCAGCAGGUUAAGGAUUGGGUGUUGCCACUGCUGUGGUUUGAGUCAAUGCUGUGGUUUGAGUCAAUGCUGUGGCGCAGGUUCAAUCCCUAGCCCGGAAACUUCCACAUGCCACAUUAUAUAUAUAUAAAAAGGCCAGGAGUUCCCGUCGUGGUGCAGGGCUGUGUUUGCCCGGAUCUUAGUCAGCACCUGGCCACCUCCUGUCCUUCAGGCCUUUCUAUGCCAGGUGUGUCCCCAAGGACAUCUGUGCCCUUGCCCUGGGCCCAUGUUCACAGAUGUUGGUACAGGCCCGCUGCAGAAGCAGCCCCGCCUCUGGCUGUGCUGGUUAUGGGCAGAGGGGCCCCUUUCCCUGCCGAGCAUGGGUUCUGACAGGGGAGAGCAAAGCCUCCUUCCCCAGACCGUGUCUCCCCAGCCAGCGCCCUGGCCUGAACGCCUGACUUUCCCCUCUGGAGGGCGACGGGGGUGGGGGGUAGAGGGGGUGAGGGGGCUGCGUCUGAAGCCGCCUGUGCUGAGCGAAGUGGAAAGAGAUCUUCCUUUGCGGUGCCCCAGCUCUCAGCCCUGAAGCAUCUUUACAAAAGGGUGUUGAUUUUAUCCAGCUUGGAUCGGAGCCAAGUCUGUUGUCUGAAGAGAUGCCUGAGCUGGGUCUCAGAAGCCAAAGGCCCCUCCCUCGGCAUCCCCCCACUCCAGGCUUGGCCCAGCCCUCCCAGCGCCUCCACCUCCUGGUCUUCGGGCUGAAGGGAAAUUUCAAAUAGAAGGUGGUGUUAGGAUAACACGGAGUGGUUUUUUUAAGGUGCUGUUUCAUUUUCUAUUCUUUCUUUCAAAUUCUCUGUGGAACAUAUGACUAUCAGGGUUUUUUUUUUUUAAGUAUUCAGGGGGCUAAGCUGGGGCAAUUAGAAUAGUCACUUGAAAUAGUCCACCCCAGUGCUCUGAAAGUGACGUGCUAAAGGUGACUGGAUUAGCAGUGCUAGUCGCGUUCCUGCCAGAGGGAAAAGAAAGGGUGCAGCCUGCUCUGCUGUGCGCCAGGCUGCGAGUCAGGAUGGAGAAAAUGAUGUGGGCGGGAGGGUGCCCUCAUCCCGCAGCACGGCUGAGAUGUUGCAAAACACGUGGCCUCUUUGGCAUCCCUAGGGGUGGGUGGGAAGGGAGUGGACUGCUCUCUGAGAAGCAAGCCCUCUCCAUCCUUAGGAAAACCCCGGAAGUGCUCAGCACCCAAGCUAAGGGGCAGACCGCCAUCCCACUGCCCCUCUCUGCUGAUGGCCUUGCACCUGCUUCAAGGAGAAAGUUAGAGGAACCUGGGAGACCAUCCACGCCCUCCCCACCUGCCCGCCCGUUUGCCUUCACCAUCUUCGUCUUCUCCCCCAGAACCGUGGACCAACCCCCUGGGCACAAAAUCCCAUCUUAACUCUCCUGCUCCAAGGACACAGCUCUAGCAAUCCCCUCUCCUCCCACGUCAGGGCUUCCUAUCCCUACGGGUUCACCCCAUCAAUGUUCUAGCAUGUUCUCCUCUUUCUGUAAACGCGAACUCCCCUUGGGACCCCACUUCUCAUCUGUCACCCUAUUCUGCUGCUUCCUGUCACAGCCAAACUCCUGGGGAACGUUGCCUCCAAUUUCUCUCCGUCCAGCCCCUUACCUCUUCCCUCCCUGACCUGUUUCUUCUUCUUACACCUGUCAUCAGCAUGCUACGAGCCCCACACAUUUCUCCAGUGCCUGCUGCUUCCCUAGAAUUAAUCUCCUUGAGGACAGGAAUUUGGGCUGCCUUACCCACAGCUGCCCCCUUUCCCACCUAGAACAGUGCUGGUCUUGACAGGGGACGGAACAAAUAUUUUUGAAAUAAGCGAAUGAGGAGUUCCCUGGUAGCUCAGUAGGUUAAGGAUCCACCAUUGUCACUGCUGUGGCUCUGGUGAUGGUGGCACAGGUUCAGUCCCUGGCCAGGGAACUUCCUCAUGCUGAAUCCAUGGCCAAAAAAUAAAUAAAUAAAUAAAAUAAAAUACAAAGUGACUGAAUGAAUUCAUAGACGACAAAACACUUAUCAUACCGGAUUUUCAUAAAACCCCCCGAGGUUGUGUGGUUCAGUCUCACCGGGCAGAAGAGGAGACAGAACAUGGAGUUGGGUGGAAGAGGAUCCACUAGCUGCCCGCAGGUUGCUGGGUCAGCGUGGUGGUGGUGGUUCGGCUUAUGCCUCUGACUGCACAGCUGUCCCAGCCAAGGGCUCCCACUUCUGUGUCCUGGACCCCGGUGGGAGUCACCAGCUCUGCAGAUGGGCCCAGAAUCAGUAAGAAGGAAGUUAGGGCUCAAGGGGCCUGUGACUUGCAUUAACCCCAUCACCCAGUGCCUUAGUGCUCCCCUCCCCCGUCCAGGGCUGACCUUCCACUGGCUCCCAGAGCUCCCUAGUUCAGCAAAACAUCGAUUGCAUGGUGCGUUGGUUAAGACUUUACAUUUGGGGGUGUAAUUAUUUCAAAGGCAAUUAGGUGCUUGAUCUUUCUUACUCUGCCUGCCAGUGGGAAUUAAUAGAAAACCUUUCAAUCAGGAACAACUGCAAAACAAUUUCUGGCCCCAAAGAUAAUCAAUAUUACACAAGCGGAGCAUUCUUCUAGCUUCAGGAAGCUAUUCAUUUCUGAUACUUUCAAAACCAGAAGGGAACGUUCUGUUUUCAUCUUCAUCAGACGCCCCCGCCUGCAGUCCUUACAAACAGCCUUUAAAAGGACACAGAAAUCUAUAUGGUUCUUUCUGACCAUCCAUCUCCAUGUCGCCUUCCAGGGUACAGGGAGUGUCAGAACCCCCUGCUCAGCGGGACAGCACGUGAUGUUCACAUUAUUAGGAAUACAGGUCACUGCCCAGCCCUGAGCCUUCCGACCAGACUGGGCGCCUGCACUGGGGUAUGAGACCCUGAGCCAUCCUCCAGCUCGUAUGUCCUAGAAUCCCCCAGAGCUCAUGGGCCAGCCAUCCUCCCAGAAGAACCUCUGGACCUGUUGACGGCUUCUUCCCUCUUCUCCGCGGUGCAGGCCCAGUCCCAAGGCUGGCUUCCAUCUCGGAGUCCUUGCUGUUGCAGGGAGCUGAUGUCCUGCCUGCUUGGUGAGGUCCCCAACAUCCUGUCCAGGUCUGGCCAGGCCCUGGUCAGGGGAGGCUCUGUGUGUGUGUGUGUGUGUGUGCACGCGCGCGCGCGGGUGUUGUGGGGCAGGUGUAACAAAGGUUAAUUGUUGAACCCUGCUCUCUCUAUCUCCCGUAUCCCCCCCUUUCUGUGUUCACACCAUGUUCUGUUCUUUUUUCUUUUUCUUUUUCUUUUUCUUUCUUUCUUUUUCUUUUUUUUUUUUUUUUACCUUGUUCUCUUCUUAACUCUGCAGGAAAUAGGGUGGGCGUCGGGUCACCAAUAAUGGCAGUCGGUGGAAUGGGAAGCUUUUCCGUAUCCUUAUCGGGCCAGUGACCUCAGACCACCGUCUCCAUAUAACAGGGUAAGGGAAACUCUAGGGCAAUGGGUCAGAAGGGGAAAUGGAAAGAAUGUUCUGGAACAAAGGCAUCUUUGGCCUUGGCUUCUUGGAAAACAGGAUUCUGUUUCCACUAGAACCAAGGUAAUUUCUGCACUUCCUGGCUUUCCAUCCACGAGCGUGGAGAAGUCCCACACCGCGGGUUCCUCUAGCGUGUACAACGCUGGCCACGGACGCUGAGAUCUAGGCGGUGCUGUUUUGAAAGCUGAUGGGAAAAUGACCACACGAGCCCUUUCCAGAAAGGAGAAUAAGAACCUCUGAGGGCUAAGGGUUCGAAGUCAGAGGUAAACAGCUAGGCUGUCUCCGUGGCCUGCUGAGCAUGUGGGUGCUGGAGCAAGCAGGAAGCUGGGGGGCCAUCGGGGGCGCUGGCUGUGAUAACGUGGACUCAGGAGGGCCGCAGCUUAGUGGGGCCAUCCUGGAGAGCGUUUGCAAACCAAUCUAGUUAAGCCAAACACAAAGGUGGAGUAGAGAAUCUAUGCAAGAGAAUAAAGUUUUAGGAGGCUGAAAAUGGGAAAGUGGUCAUUUCCAACGAUAAGCUGGCAAGUCCCCCACCUCCAGCCCUGCUCUUCCGUGCCCGCUGCCCCUCCCUCACCCGCUUUGAUUCUCUACCUUCCAUUCCUCCAAAGAGCCAUGCCCCUGCCCUCUGCCUGAAGGGGAUCCAGCCCUUACCAAAAAGGGUUUGGGGAACCCGAGAUGCAGAGAAGUAAGGUGACUGAUGCCUCAGGGUCACCCAGUCAGGGAACGGCAGAGCCAGGAUGUAAACCCAGGGGGGUGUGUUUUCACCGCCUCUCCAGCGAUCUGGGGUCAACUCCACGCAAAGGUUCGGGGAGUGCCCUGAGCAUCUCGUGGUCCAUUUACCAAACAUUUAAUGAACAUGUGGGAUACAGCUGGUGAGAGUCUCAGGCUGGAUGGCUCAUCAGAGUAGCACGCACGAGACCAAAUGUCCUGAUUUGAUCCAGUCCGUUCUCUGAAGACCCCACACUGGCACAUCCUGGGCUUCUGGUCUGAGAUUUCUCCCCCUGUGGAUGGGUGAAGGGACUUGGGAGGGGAUGGCUGUGAUCACGUGGUUGUGUUUUCAAUUAAAGAUGCUAGCCAAUGACCGUGUAUUGACGCCAGGCUCCGUGCUGUCCCUGGUGGGUACCCACAGGCACCGGAUGUCUGACGUCCUUCCAUUGCCAGUGAGGAUGGGUGAACUGGUCCAGGUCCCAUGCCUGGCAAAAGGUCUUUGCCAGGUGAGGGGUGUGGACUGGCAGGUCUCCAGCUCCUGCCGGAUGUGAGUCCUUCCUGCUCCUGACUCCCAAGCCCCCUGUGGAAGACUCAGGCUCCUUUACAACAACAGCCUCAUGCCUUUUGACCAGGCAGUGGCUAUCUGUCCAUCUGUUCAAACAUGCGUCCACUCAUCCAUCCAUCAGCACAUUUUCCAUCUGUUCUCCGUUCCUCCAGGAUGAGGCCCAGAUUCUUGGUGCAUCGAUUUAGGAUGAUUUUGCUCUAAGGAAUACGAGGCUUCAAUUCAAACUGGUUUCAGCUGUAAGGACACUUGUCAUCUCACAACCAAGAAGUCCAGAGCAGGGCAAGCCCUAGACGGGAUGCCAAGGCUCUGACCUCGUUCUCCGCUGAUCCCAGUGGUUCUGCAUGAUGGCUUCAUCCUCAGGCUGGAGGCGAGAGGCUUCGGCUGCUCGGGGCAUCUCACUGCCCCAAGGAAGAAGGGGAACCCUCUCUUCUUCUCUCUCUUUCUUUAAUGGCUGAGCCCCUGGCAUGUGGAUGUUCCCUGGCCGGGGAUGGAACCCAUACCACAGCAGUCACUCAAGCCACAGCAGUGGCAACACCAGAUCCCUAACCCACUGAGCCACUAGGGAACUCCCUUCUGUUUCUUUCAAUGGCCUUUGGUUGUGAAUUUUCUUAUUUCUGGGAAAGGCCAUGAGCCAAUAAUAAGGAAUGAAUUCAAACCCUACUGGCUGUCUCAGUGGGUCUCCAAUCAGGCCAGGCUGGUGGAAAAAGACAAACGAAGUCCUUCAGCCGAUUCCUGGAGGCCAAGGGACUGGGCAGCUGAGGCCAGGGGUGCUUGCAGGUCAGCCUGGUGGACAGCACUGAGUCUCUCUUCUCCCGAGCCUGGCAUCACACAGGCAGCCAUUAAAGCACAAAAUACAAAGUGUCUGCUCACCUGGCAGCUCUCCUCCCUGCCUCCGCGCCCCCUCCCGGAACUGGCCUCCCCAGGGUCUUUCAAACCGUCUUCUUACUUGUUGCCUUGGGUUCGAUUUUCUUUUUGCCCAGGAAGGAAGACAAUCAGCAUAAUGGCUCCCUUGUGCUCGGCGUGACACCAGAGACAGGCACCAGAGCUGCUGCAAGCUCCCCUCCUGCCCCUCCUCCCGGGGCUCAUGACAGUGGCGGUGGCGGUGGUGGCGGCUGCGGCGGCCUCAGAGCACAGCCCAGCAGGGGCUGGGAGAUCACAUGACCCGAUGCCAGAGGACCUGGGCUCAAACCACAGCUGGGCUUCUCAGGAGCUGGCUGAGGAGGGGUAAUUGCCCAAACCCUCAGUGUUCUCAUCUAGGAAACGGGGAUAAUAACCCCGCAUCUCAGAGCCGGAUGAGCUAAGACCCUGGAAAAGUGCUUCACACACAGAGAAGGGCUAUGCACAUUUAGGGAAUGAGAACAGGGGGCUAUUCUAGGACUGGGGGCGGGGCAAGGCCUUUGAAUCCCACUGUCAAGGUAGAAGCAAGUGAUGAGGGCUGGGUCCAUCCCAUCCUUUCAUUGUUUUUUGUUUUUUUUUUCCAAAACAAACAAGCAAACAAUACAAAAAAACAGACUCCAUCCCACACAAAAGUCUUCUGCAAAUUGAGUUGAGAGUCAACCUUUGGUGUGAGCUGCCCUGAAGGGAGCGGGCAUGAUGGGGAACUUUCUGGGCAUAAUAACUUGCCCCUUGCCCCAGUGCCCACUGUGUCGCUCCACCUCUGCCCUGAGCUCUGCUACAUAAAAGGAAGGCAGGAAGGCAAGGAUCCUUUAUGUAUUCAUUCAACACACUUCACGGAGCACCCAGUGUAUGCUAGUACUGUGCUGAGUGCUGGGGACUGAGAAGUGGAUAAGGAAGGGGUCCAGGGGUGCUGAGGGACGUCGGCUGUGGGCUUGGUCACACUGGCCCUUGGCACCUGGGCAGCGAAACAAACCCCAUCACCUCUCUGAGCCUCAGGUUCCUGAUCUGCAAAACGGGGAGAAGAAAUAGUUUAUACCCAAUAACGAGGAUGAGAUGAGAUGCGGUGUGUGUGUAAAGCCUUAGACAGGGGUCAAGCACUGAUAGACCACGAUGACAAUGACAUUGACCAGAAUGAUGGUGACGACAAAGUUCCUUUGGGGUAAAUCACAGGACACCCCGGAAGCACAGGUUAGGGACCUGAGUGUCACUGGUGACCUGGGGAGGGGGCUUCUGGCCGGGGUGACUCUUGAGUGUGUGGAGGUGGAAGGGAGUUCCCCAGGCCAUCAAUCUGGCGGUCAAGGCCUCUGCUACGGUCACUACGAAGCUCACAGGUCAGGGUGGACACACACAGUUUGUUUCCUGUUCAUGCACAGGCCGUGCAUGUUGAGAGACGGGACCUCGGGUGUCCUCCUCAAAGUGACUCAGUGAUGGAGGCUGCUUUGGGGGGGGUCUGUCAUCUCACCAGACAGCACGGGGUAUGUUCAUCCCACCGGUUCCUCUGUGCUUCGGCCGGAAAUGACGUGUGCCAUCCUACUGGCUGUUCCCUGGCCAGAUGGUCACGUGGUCCCAUCUAAGUGCAGGGAGGGCUGGGGGCAUGGAGGGUGGGGGUGGGGAGAGCCUCUAGGCGGAGGGAGAGCCGGGGCACAAGUAGGAGAGUGUUGGGGAAACUGUGAGCAGACCAGGGUUCCUGCAGCUGGGAGGGACAGGAAGGAGGGGGCCGGGGGCUGGGUGGUGGCAAGGAUGGGCCAGCCGCCACGCUGGAGAGCUAGGGUGACGGAAGAACGAAGGGUGUGGCUGGAGGCAAGGAGGCUCCGGAGGCUGUGGCAGGGACCUGGGCCAGGGGAGUGGAGGCCUGCGUUGGGGCCAUGGACAUGGGGCAGCCGGAGGGGACAGGGCCUUGAGAAGUCCACCAACAGAAUCAAGAGACUGGGUGUAAGUCGGGAAGAAGGAAGACGUUCAGGGCACUUGCCAGCCUCCUCCCCCGGCUGACUGUCAUUCCCGGAGUUGGGGUCAGGAGGCGGGGGACAGCGCUGGGGGAAGUCUUGAGCUCAGUGAGGCCUCCGCCCUGGCCAGGGGACAGAACAUUCCAGGGCUUGGGAGGGAAACCUGAGCUAAACAAUCAUCAACCCCUGGAGCACAGCAGUCCUGCUCACCUCCUGGUCGCCACACUGAGCAGCACCCACCUGUCAGCUGCCCACCAUCCACAGAGCCCUGCCGGGUGCCGCUGAGAGGAGACAGGGAAACCAGCCAGUCUUGGAACAGCAAAGGGGGGGCUGACAGAUUAAAAGCACCACGCGUUAUCUCAGCAGCUGAAGUUCUGAAGCCCGUGACCCCUUCCUAGACUGCACACCCCUAAUCCUAGGGUGGGCCAGGAGGGGCUGGGGGACAAAGAGCGAGGUUCUGAUUAUGGCAGGUGGAAAGACACUUUUAACAUAGAGGGCAGCUGGGACCCCACAAUGAUAGCGUUCUUUGCAGCUCUUGAGGUAACUGCAUCAUGAGUAACCCCCUGGGGAUAAUUAUUAACCCCCUUUGGGCUUCAGGGUUUGGAAUCCAAUAGAUUGUAACCAGCUCCCUUCUGAAACUGGCUCUUUCAGCGCUGCCUCCGCAGACAGGUGCUAUUUACAUGAGCAUCAUCAAAGCCUCGUGCAUUAUUGAAUAGGAGAGGUAGUUUUCGUGUGCCCUC
This 8585-nucleotide long non-coding RNA is filed under the name Sus scrofa (pig). RNAcentral describes it as "lncRNA (ENSSSCG00030056943.1)". Lineage: Eukaryota; Metazoa; Chordata; Mammalia; Artiodactyla; Suidae. The record is from RNAcentral.